AUGACCGCACAGACCACGGACACUACCUGCCCCUGUCGGGAGAGGAGCGGGAGCUGGGACACAGGAAGAACGGACGCUCGGGGACGUGGUGUCUUCUCCGUGGGGUCUCUUCUGUGGCACCACACGACCUCCCAAGACUUGGACAUCAGCCCCCAAGGCUCUCUCUUUUCCCAGAAAGCUUUGGGCGUGUACCUUAGAAACCGACAGCUUGCAGCCCGAGUGUCCAACAAAGCCUGUGCCUCUGUGGAGAAGCAAAGCCAACCGCAUAAAAUAAAAGACAAAAGGCAGAAAUGGAGAUCUCUGCUGAACUCAGUUGGGGCUGCGAAGCUCUUUCUCACUCUCCUCGGUCAGCCUGGGAAGUGGCACGUUUCUUGGGAGAGACAAGCCUGUCCUUCUCUCCUGCUCAGCCGGGGAAGUCUGUUUGGAAAACUAACUUGUAUCACGGGCAGGACAGCGCCACCUCGUUAGCUCCAGGAGGUUCAACUCCCACUCGGGUUCAUUUGCGUCCCAGCCCCGGGAUGCCCCUGGGGGUUCAGGCCGCCUCCCAGGGCCGCAGCUCAGGCAGGCAGGUCUCCCUCACGCCCUUCCCUUCUCCUGCCUCCGCGGACGGCAACCGCAUGCUUCGCUGAGCCUGAGAGAGCCCCGGGUGUGGCCGCAUCCGUGAGCAGCCCCCUUUCUCUGAGAACAGCGCCUGCGCUCCCACCCUGCUGCCUCUUCACAGGAGUGCGGCGCUCCGGGCUGUUUCUCCACUCUCGCCCUCCACCUCCUUUCUGGAGAAUUCCCUACCCGCCUUGAUUCACUUGAUUCAGCCGAGCCCCGGGCUACUCGCUCGGCUUUCGACUGGGCCGUCCCAGCCAGCUGGGUUUUGUGUGAACACAGCAGGAACUGCUCGGAGAUGCGAUAUUUCUAAACUGGCUGAUCUAGGGUGCUAAGCCCAACUCCUGGCUUUAUAUUUCUUUUUCUUCCAUCAAUACGGGUGGCCAGCAAGAAGAGAGCGGUGUUAAGAAGGGCUCACCUAAUGCUCGGUGACAGCCUGCCUACACUUUUAGUUCAAAGAAACAAAGGCUUCUUAAACAGGUAUCUUCUAUAAACUAGUUAAGCAGGAGGAACAUUUUCUUCACUAGCCAGUGCCACUGAAAGUUACUUAGCAGGCUUAAGCCAUAAUUUUAUUUGUGAGUAAAUAAAAUUAGAACAUAAUUACAUUGUUUUGUGCUGCUCAUAUGUAAUUCCAUUAUGAAAUUUGGGCUCACUGAAGGAUAUGUGAUGAAAGACAUAAAAACCAACCACAUCCAAAUCUUGUACAAUAAAUAUGAAUCAUCUCUGCUCGUUAUUAUAAAAUUUGUGGAUUUCAACUCUUGAACAGAAGCUAUAAUCGGGGACUUUUCCUUCCCCGGUUCCUAUCAGGUCGCUCUUGUACAAGAGAGUGUGGAGCCCUUCCCACGAGACACGCUGUCUAAUCAGGCUCUACUAGUUUAGAUUUAUUCCCUAAUGUCCAUUCAGAGAAUCAAAGAGCCCUGACCAUUUACUGAUUGUGACAGGCCACCGCAGAGCUGUUCUCAGGGUCAUGCACAGCAAGGGCACACCAGCGUCCUGUACUGAGAGGUGGCCCUAGGGAAUGCCUCUCCUACUCACUGACUUGGGUGGGUGAGGUGAGGUUUGGGGUGGGUGAAGUCACCACAGGCUGUGGACUGAGACUGCGACAGCUCUCGGUAGAUGUACAGCUUAGAAAAAGGCUCAGUGUUUUGUGUGUAAAGUGAGGAUGAUAAAGAACCUACUCCCUGAGAAUGAAGGCAACCUGGUGAGUUACUGCAUGCUAAGCAGAUAAAACAGUGUCUGGCACAUAUUUAAAGGUUCAGUAAGUGAUAGCUAGUGUAUGGUAAUUGUUGAUGUGUUUUUAUACAUACUGUAUGCUCUUUUGAAAAAUGCAGGGAAAGAUCUUCGGAAGUCUAAGCCUUAAAGAAAUAAGCAGUAGAUUUCUCCAUUAGUUUUGUAUUAUUAAGUGAGCUCCAAAAUUCUCAAAAUUAAUUGUAUUUUGUUCUCUCUCUUGGCUGCCGGGAGGCACAGAGCCUGUAGCUGCACUGACAGAACUGCAGGGAGCGUUUCUGCAGAGCAGGCUCACUCUGUGUUCUCACAAUCCCGCCUGAAAGUUUUUCUUUGCCCCAAUCUUCUUGACUAUGUAUUGUUUUUAAAUAAGUUUCUUGUUGCUGGUUUUUGAAACAGUCUCCUAAUUCACUCUGCUGUUCAGACUGGCCUUGAACUCACUACAGAGCCCAGGAUGGCCUUGCAUUCAAGGCAACCCUCCUGCCUCAGCCUCUCGAGUGCUGGGACUACUGGUGUGCACCACCAUGCCUGGCUGUUUUAUUUUUUAAUUCUUAUUCGUACAUGUUAGCAGGACAUAAUGAUUAUAUUCAUUGUGAGGACUUGGCACUUGUAUGUAAAGAGAAUUGACUGUUUUUAACUUUUAUAUUAAAUUUGUCUGUAAGCUGCUUCAAAUCUGUGGAAAGAUAAUCCGAACAGAGUAAUUAAAAGCAGGAAGCAAUUUCUUAAAAUCAACAAAUGCUGUUGCUAGCAGCAGAGUGUCUACUGGCUGUCCUCCCAUCGGCUCUAGUGGAAAGAGCGGUGCGGCUCUGCACCUCGUGAGGCUGCUGCCCGCCCAGGGACCCCGCACGCCUGCCCUGGCUCCCGUGCUGCUCCGCUCCCUGUCUCCCGUUCUCCCGGCUGUACAGUAGAGUGAGGGCUGAGUGUCCUUUACCAUCUAUUCCGUUGUAUUUGCAACAGCAGGAAGAGAAUGGGAUUCUCUACUUCUUAACACUUUAAGAAAAAUACCUAAAAAAUUCUUUCCCCACCUCAGUCCUCCCUCUGGUCCGCCCACCAAGUUCCACAACCACCUGCUCACUGCCUGCUGCGGGCCGGGAUUUCCCAGCAAGGAUCCUGGGCCCCAUGGUGAUCUUGUACAGAGAAGCAGCUGAGCUCACUGCUGUGGCGAAAGCUCCUGUGACGGUCAGGAAGGGGAGACUGGAAAACUUAGGAGAGCCGCUCGGUUGCAAGUCUGACUUCAAAGAAACACCUUUUUUUUUUUUUUUUUGGAGAUGAGGGCUUGCAGUGUUGCCCAGGCUGAGCUCAAACUCCUGGAUUCAAGUGAUUGUGGCUCAGCCAGCCAAGCUGCUGGGAGGAGAGUUGUGCACCAGUGCACCUGGACCCAAAGAAACACACACACAACACACACACACACACACACACACACACACGCAUAUGUAGAUACAUAGAACAGCUUAUUGUAUACGCUAUUAUAUUUUUGCAAAUCCCUUAUCUCAUUAAAUUGUCAUUCAGUUCCUUGAGUAGAUCUGUCAUCAUAUACUAUUAUCCCCUGCAACAUAAGGGAAAGUUUAGAGCCCAACUUGGUGCCCUGGACCCUUAGACAAGUCACUUACAACGUGCUUAGCACAGUUCCAGAAAAUACAAAACAAGAGUGAGCUACUUCUUGUCCAAGGGGCCUCAUAGACUUAUUAUAGCAAUAAUACAAAAUGCACUGAACUCUGAUGGAUUAAAAGUACUACAACUGAGUGAAAAGGCAAGAUCACCAUCAGAUAGAGGAGGCGGACAGAUGCCAUUGGGACGUGGGACUUCCACAGGCCUUGACAUGAGAAAGGCCAAGAGGAUGUUUGGCUGUGUGACACCCCUGCUGCAAAUGGCCUAGAAGAGUGAAACAGACGCCAUCUGCUGUGUCACCGGGGUCCCCACCUUCCACCGUUCGUUGCUUCUUUCUUUCCCUGACUUUCUUGCACCGCCCUUACUCUAAGCCCUGGGGGGGAGAGGAAGCCGGCUGAGAUGUUAGGAGGCAGCCCAGGGCUUCCCCCCGUAAUUUAACAGAGUGGAGAAGUCAGUGCUGAGCGCACUUCCUCCGGCCACGGACAAUCGCUGACCCACUACUUCCUACGCAUCGUGUCCCUUGUGCUGGGCUGGGGAGUUUUUCUCUAGGGAAGAAUAUUUCCGGAUUCCUGGACCCCUCACUGUAACAGUCAGAAGAGGAUAACACACCUCAGAGCUGUGGUGAAAGUUCAGGGAGACACCACGUCUGCAAGUGCCGCGCCCAGGCCGGGCAUGACUUAGGCUCACAGUACGGCUUUCCUUCCUGCUGCAUUCUUUCCCUGAGGGUUGCUCAUUUGUUUGUUUGUUUGUUUGUUUGUUUGUUCUGGAGCAGACCUCGGGUCAUUCACAGAACUCUCCAUUACUAUGAUUAAUACCCACCCCCAAGGAUAGCUUAAACAUAUUUCUACAAAAGAUGUGUGGUGGAUUCUCAUAUCACGCCAAGAAGACAGAAACACAGGCAGUCCUGUUCCCCAGCUCAUCCAGGGGGAGACUGGAAGCCUGGAGAAGUUAGAUCACUCCCGCUCUUACCCUCCCUGCUCCUCAAUGUGGUUUGGGUGCUAUUUUUUUUGCCCCUAAACAUUGGGUUAAGUUUUGUUUUGUGGUGCCAAGCACUAACCCUGCACCUGCCCCACCUCCUUUCGGGCCCGCCUUUCCUGCAUCUGUGCCCGGUGGGGUCCACGUGGUGGAAUUUUCAUCCUUCUCACGCACUUCCUCUCAGGAGCCCGUCCAACCUCACCCUUAGAUGAAUUUCUUUCUCUCCAUCUGACCAUAAAUUUUAAAAAUUAAAAGUAAUUUUAAAAUUUCUUAUGCAUGUGGUAUCCCAUUGAAUUAUUACAACCUGAUUCAUAAAACAAUUUCAUAAGUGGAAGUAGCACCAUUUGCCGGGAAAUAAUGGACUCGCUCCAUGGUCCCAAGUCACCAGACUCAUCUUUGUUGAUCUUUAAAUGUUGUCCUGCUGUAAUUUGUUGCAGAU
RNAcentral lists this long non-coding RNA (4843 nucleotides) under Chinchilla lanigera (long-tailed chinchilla). RNAcentral's name for it is "lncRNA (ENSCLAG00000028827.1)". The record is from RNAcentral. Lineage: Eukaryota; Metazoa; Chordata; Mammalia; Rodentia; Chinchillidae.